Molecule: ribosomal RNA, 486 nt
Filed under: uncultured bacterium
Lineage: Bacteria
Description: bacterial SSU rRNA
Rfam family: Bacterial small subunit ribosomal RNA
Source: RNAcentral
AGAGUUUGAUCAUGGCUCAGGAUGAACGCUGGCGGCGUGCUUAACACAUGCAAGUCGAACGGUGAACCAGAGCUUGCUCUGGGGAUCAGUGGCGAACGGGUGAGUAACACGUGGGCAACCUGCCCCAGACUCUGGGAUAACUCCGGGAAACCGGAGCUAAUACCGGAUAUGACUACUUCGGACAUCCGACGGUAGUGGAAAGUUUUUCGGUCUGGGAUGGGCCCGCGGCCUAUCAGCUAGUUGGUGGGGUAAUGGCCUACCAAGGCGACGACGGGUAGCCGGCCUGAGAGGGCGACCGGCCACACUGGAACUGAGACACGGUCCAGACUCCUACGGAAGGCAGCAGUGGGGAAUAUUGCACAAUGGGCGAAAGCCUGAUGCAGCGACGCCGCGUGAGGGACGACGGCCUUCGGGUUGUAAACCUCUUUCAGCAGGGACGAAGCGAAAGUGACUGUACCUGCAGAAGAAGCACCGGCUAACUACGUG